GACAAUGAGCGAUCUGCUAAAAAGAUUCAGAGUGAGCUUCUGUUUAGAAUACAGUUAAAAGCAUCAGUCUGCACUAUUAGAAAACCAGUAAAACAACUCAGGUGGACCUAUGGAAAAGCCAGGCUAUUUGCUUUAUACGAGCUUACAUGUCCUACAAAUUUAGUAAUAGUACAGACCCUAUUAAUAAACCGCCAUGUUGUAAAACCGAAAGCAAAGCAUCCAGAAAAAUUCAUGUCUGGGGAGCCAUAUUCCAUCAGGGACCUGGACCGCUAGUUGUGUUAGAAAGAAUUAUGGACAGCUGUUUUUACAAAGACACUAUAGUAAAAUUUAAUCAGGUUCCAUAUGUAAAACAACACUUUAAAGAACCACAUCGCUUCUUCCAAGGUAG
Molecule: non-coding RNA, 388 nt
Organism: Danio rerio (zebrafish)
Lineage: Eukaryota; Metazoa; Chordata; Actinopteri; Cypriniformes; Danionidae
Source: Ensembl